This 122-nucleotide small RNA is filed under the name Caenorhabditis brenneri. RNAcentral's name for it is "sRNA CBN34291". Lineage: Eukaryota; Metazoa; Nematoda; Chromadorea; Rhabditida; Rhabditidae. The record is from RNAcentral.
UUUUGAAGCGAGUUAUGCGCCUUUAAAGUUGGAGAUGAGACGCAGAGAAGCAGACAGUCGUUUUCUCUGGCGUCUCUCAAUCUCUCACCUCCAACUUUAGAGGCGCAUAACUCGCUUCAAAA